Pteropus vampyrus (large flying fox) is the source of this 120-nucleotide ribosomal RNA. NCBI's taxonomy places the organism in Eukaryota, Metazoa, Chordata, Mammalia, Chiroptera, Pteropodidae. The record is from Ensembl.
GUCUACGGCCAUGCUACUCUAAAUGUGCCUGAUCUUGUCUGAUUUCGGAAGCUAAGCAGGGCAGGGCCUGGUUUAGUACUUAAAUGGGAGACCACCUAGGAAUACCAGAUGCUGUAGGCA